GACGAACGCUGGCGGCGUGCCUAAUACAUGCAAGUUGAGCGAUGAAGAUUGGUGCUUGCACCAAUUUGAAGAGCAGCGAACGGGUGAGUAACGCGUGGGGAAUCUGCCUUUGAGCGGGGGACAACAUUUGGAAACGAAUGCUAAUACCGCAUAACAACUUUAAACAUAAGUUUUAAGUUUGAAAGAUGCAAUUGCAUCACUCAAAGAUGAUCCCGCGUUGUAUUAGCUAGUUGGUGAGGUAAAGGCUCACCAAGGCGAUGAUACAUAGCCGACCUGAGAGGGUGAUCCGCCACAUUGGGACUGAGACACGGCCCAAACUCCUUCGGGAGGCAGCAGUAGGGAAUCUUCGGCAAUGGACGAAAGUCUUACCGAGCAACGCCGCGUGAGGGAAGAAGGGUUUCGGAUCGUAAAACUCCGUUUGUAGAGAAGAAAGUUGGUGAGAGUGGAAAGCUCAUCAAGUGACGGUAACUACACAGAAAGGGACGGCUAACUACGUG
RNAcentral lists this ribosomal RNA (497 nucleotides) under uncultured bacterium. Its description in RNAcentral is "partial 16S ribosomal RNA". It matches the Rfam family "Bacterial small subunit ribosomal RNA", at positions 28 to 507 of the family's 1533-position model. The record is from RNAcentral.